GUGCUUGCUUUGGCAAUACACACACUAAAGCUGGAAUGAUACAGAAAAGAUUAGCAUAGCCCUUGUGGAAGAAUGACAAGAAAAUUUGUGGGGGGAAAAAAUGACUUUU
Molecule: small nuclear RNA, 109 nt
Organism: Sorex araneus (European shrew)
Lineage: Eukaryota; Metazoa; Chordata; Mammalia; Eulipotyphla; Soricidae
Source: RefSeq, a predicted model, not a curated record